RNAcentral lists this long non-coding RNA (4662 nucleotides) under Salmo salar (Atlantic salmon). Its description in RNAcentral is "lncRNA (ENSSSAG00000120903.1)". The record is from RNAcentral. Lineage: Eukaryota; Metazoa; Chordata; Actinopteri; Salmoniformes; Salmonidae.
CCUGCCUCUCCCAUCGCCUCAUUGGUUUAUAGAAGCAGGUACCCACGUGCCAUCUCCUCAUUGGUUACACCCACGUGGGUGAUUGAAAGACUAACUGUUUUGCCGGUUGUCAUGGUAAUACUAUGAAAGUGUAGAUGCCAAUCACCAUAUAAGUUGAAAGAUGAAAAAGCCUGGGAGGACAGAUGACUAAAAACGAUUCGGUUGACCGUUUUAUGUGAGGAUUAAUUGUCGGAGUAGAGAACCUUGUGCAUUUCAGUGCUUACUCCUCCCCAACUCAAGGCUGUCAUGGUGAUUGAUACCAGACUGUGUGUCUUCUCCUCCCAGAAGAUCCCUCCCAUAAGAUCCCUGAUGGCUAACAGUAACAUAUCCUGACAUAAUGUAAGUGUUAUACAUUACCCUCUCUCCCUCAGUGACAUUGUUAGGUUCUAAGAUCUCCAUCCGUCUCCCCUACACAUUCCAAAGCCAUCUGGCUCCUACAGAUAACCAUUAACUUCUGAUUAUAACAAUGUUCCAAGUUUAACCCAGAAUCUAACAGGUUGAAUUGUGUUUGGGAAAUAAAUGUAGACAUGGUUUUAAAAAAGUAGUGGUAAUACAGUAUUUCAUUCAGUACAGAAAUGUGUAGGCGGCUUAAUUAACCCCAUGUCAGGUGUAAGUUGCGCCAAGAUACCUACUUUUUGGGUUUACAUGAAUUCUGAUCAUUUUCUGGAAUACACAACAUCCUGAAAUAUAUGUAGAUAUCUUUGUUUGAAAGAAAACUAUCAUUCUCUUGACGGAGUGAUACUGAAUGUAUAAAAUGGCUCAACUUACCCCUCUCUCCCCUGCGUGGGAUGGCGCUGACAGAAAUGGUCGCCUCGUUUCGCUUUCUUAGGAAACUAUGCAGUAUUUAGUUUUUUUAUGUAUUAUUUCUUACACGGUUACCCCAGAAAAUCUCAAGUCUUAUUACAUACAGCCGGGAAGAACUAUUGGAAAGAAGAGCAACCUCAGCUUACCAACAUUACGACCAGGAAUACGACUUUCCCGAAGCGGAUACUCUGUUUGGACCACCACCCAGGACAAUGGCUCAGAUCCCAGUAGGCGACCCAAAACAACGGCGCCGCAGAAUGAGCAAACGGCGCGGUCUCCUGGUCAGGCUCCGUAGACGAGCACAUCCCUCACCGCUCCCGAGUAUACUACUCACCAAUGUCCAGUCUCUUCACAACAAGGUAGACAAAAUUUGUGCAAUGGUUGCCUUCCAGAGAGACAGGUUGCCUUCCUGUCUCUGCCUGGCCGGUUCCCCUCUCUCCACUGGGAUUCUCUGCCUCUAACCCUAUUACAGGGGCUGAGUCACUGGCUUACUUGGUGUUCUUCCAUGCCGUCCCUAGGAGGGGUGCGUCACUUGAGUGGGUUGAGUCCCUGACGUGGUCUUCCUGUCUGGGUUGGCGCCCCUCCCCCCCUUGGGUUGUGCCGUGGCGGAGAUCUUUGUGGGCUAUACUCGGCCUUGUCUCAGAAUGGACCUGAGCCCUAGGACCAUGCCUCAGGACUACCUGGCAUGAUGACUCCUUGCUGUCCCCAGUCCACCUGGCCGUGCUGCUGCUCCAGUUUCAACUGUUCUGCCUGCGGCUAUGGAACCCUGACCUGUUCACCGGACGUGCUACCUGUCCCAGACCUGCUGUUUUCAACUCUCUAGAGACAGCAGGAGCGGUAGAGAUACUCUCAAUGAUCUGCUAUGAAAAGCCAACUGACAUUUACUCUUGAGGUGCUGACUUGUUGCACCCUCGACAACUACUGUGAUUAUUAUUAUUUGACCAUGCUGGUCAUUUAUGAACAUUUGAACAUCUUGGCCAUGUUCUGUUAUAAUCUCCACCCGGCACAGCCAAAAGAGGACUGGCCACCCCUCAUAGCAUGGUUCCUCUCUAGGUUUCUUCCUAGGUUUUGGCCUUUCUAGGGAGAUUUUCCUAGCCACCGUGCUUCUACACCUGUAUUGCUUGCUGUUUGGGGUUUUAGGCUGGGUUUCUGUACAGCACUUUGAGAUAUUAGCUGGUGUAAGAAGGGCUAUAUAAAUAAAUUUGAUUUGACAUCAGAGAUUUAACAUUCUCUGUUUCACGGAAACUUGGCUCACUCGGGAUACGUUAUCAGAGUCGGUACAGUCACCCGGUUUCUUCACGCAUCGUGCCGACAGAAACAAACAUCUCUCUGGUAAGAAAAAGGGCUGGGAUGUAUGCCUUACGAUUAACGAGUCGUGGUGUGAUCAUAACAACAUUCACGAACACAAGUCCUUUUUUUCACCUGACCUAGAAUUCCUUAUAAUCAAAUGCUGACCGCAUUAUCUACCAAGAGAAUACCCUUCGAUUAUAAUCACAGCCGUGUAUAUCCCCCCCCCCCCAAGUAGACACCUCGACGGCCCUGACGGAACAUCACUGGACUCUGUGUAAACUGGAAACCACAUAUGCUGAGGCUGCAUUUAUUGUAGAUGGGGAUUUUAACAAAGCUAAUCUGAAAACAAGGCUCCCUAAAUUUUAUCAGCAUAUCGAAUGCGCGACCCGGGCUGGCAGCAUUGUGGAUCAUUGCUACUCUAACUUCCGCGACGCAUACAAAGCCCUCCCUCGCCUUCCUUUCAGCAAAUCUGACGACGACUCCAUUUUGUUGCUCCCAGCCUAUAGACAGAAACUAAAACAGGAAACACCCGUGCUCAGGUCUGUUCAACGCUGGUCCGACCAAUCUUAUUCCACGCUUCAAGAUUGCUUCGAUCACGUGGACUGGGAUAUGUUCCGGAUAGCCUGAGACAACAACAUUGAUGUAUCCGCUGAUUCGGUGAGUGAGUUUAUUAGCAAGUGCAUCAGUAAUGUUGUACCCACGGUGACUAUUAAAACCUUCCCCAACCAGAAACCAUUGAUUGAUGGUAGCAUUCGCGCAAAACUGAAAGCGUGAACCAUUGCUUUUAAUCAUGGCAAGCAGCCCAGAAACAUGACCAAAUACAAACAGUGUAGCUAUUCCCUCCGCAAGGCAAUCAAACAAGCUAAGCGUCAGUAUAGAGACAAGGUACAGCCGCAUGUCAACGGCUGAGACACGAGACGUAUGUGGCAGGGUAUACAGUCAAUCACGGAUUACAAAAAUAAAACCAGCGUCGCGGACACCGACAUAUUGCUCCCAGACAAACUAAACAACUUCUUUGCUCACUUUGAGGACAAUACAUUGCCAUUGACACAGCCCGCUACCAAAACCUGCAGGCUCUCCUUCACCGCAGCCAACGUGAGUAAAACAUUUAAACGUGUUAACCCUCGCAAGGCUGCCUACCCAGACAGCAUCCCUAGCCGCGUCCUCAGAGCAUGCGCAGACCAGCUAGCUAGUGUGUUUACGGACAUAUUCAAUCAAUCCCUAUCCCUGUCUGCUGUUCCCACAAGCUUCAAGAGGGCCACCAUUAUUACUGUUCCCAAGAAAGCUGAAAUAACUGAGCUAAACGACUAUUGCCCCGUAGCACUCACUUCCGUCAUCAUGAAGUGCUUCGAGAGACUAGUCAAGGAUCAUAUCACCUCCACCAUACCUGACACCCUAGACCCACUCCAACUUGCUUACCGUCCCAAUAGGUCCACAGACGACACAAUCGCAAUCACACUGCACACUGCCCUAACCCAUCUGGACAAGAGGAAUACCUAUGUAAGAACGCUGUUCAUCAAUUACAGCUCAGCAUUUAACACCAUAGUCCACCAUAGUACCCUCCAAACGCAACAGCGCCUCUUCAACCUCAGGAGGCUGAGGAAAUUUGGCUUGUCACCGAAAACACUCACAAAUUUUACAGAUGCACAAUCAAGAGCAUCCUGUCGGGCUGUAUCACCGCCUGGUACGGCAACUGCUCUGCCCACAACCGUAAGGCUCUCCAGAGGGUAGUGUGGUCUGCACAACGCAUCACCGGGGGAGAAACUACCUGUUCUCUAGGAAGACCUACACCACCCGAUGUCACAGGAAGGCCAAAAAGAUCAUCAAGGACAACAACCACCCAAACCACUGUCUGUUCACCCCGCUGUCAUCCAGAAGGCGAGCUCAGUUUGGGACCCUUAAUCCAGGCUGGACAGGAGGAAGUCAACCUGCAUUUCUAGAUUCACCAUCACCUGCCACGAGAGCCUCUGUGGGCUUUCAUAGAUGGACUCAUCGAGGUUGAAGAUGGAGUCCAACCACGCCUUCAUCUGAUCCUGACGACAACAGACACAUCAACUAUUAUUUAAUGACCAACUACAAAGAUAAGGAUGAACAAACCAUCACACACAGUUCAGGAUAGAGAGAGAGAGAGAGAGAGAGAGAGAGAGAGAGAGAGAGAGAGAGAGAGAGGGGGAGAGAGAAAUGCACCUUAAGGAGGAGGUAGAAGUUCCCAGCAGACUCUGUCCAGGCUCCUCCAGGAGGGUGAAUCGUCAUUAUCACUUCAAUGAGCAGAUAAAAGAAGGUACCAGGCCUCUGGAGAAGGAACAGGGGACAUGAGUGAGUGUCUACAGACCUGGUAUGGCUACAGUGUGGAUAGGGUAGAUAAACAACAAGAUGUUUACAUUAUUAGGGCCACUUACAGAUGUUGGAAGAGAUGUUUUUCCUUCUAGAAGGCUUAGUAGAACGAAUUCAUAAAAUACAUCCGUGAAGUUGAUGUGGUUGAUCUGAAGUCGAACAAAUAAGAUAAUUACAUCAUUUUCAUUGACAAGC